UAGGACUUUAACAGUUAUGGAUGUGUUUU
RNAcentral lists this non-coding RNA (29 nucleotides) under Mus musculus (house mouse). The record is from RNAcentral. Lineage: Eukaryota; Metazoa; Chordata; Mammalia; Rodentia; Muridae.